Molecule: long non-coding RNA, 520 nt
Organism: Spea bombifrons (plains spadefoot toad)
Lineage: Eukaryota; Metazoa; Chordata; Amphibia; Anura; Pelobatidae
Exons: 2
Source: RefSeq, a predicted model, not a curated record
GCUGGAGCCAGGGCGCCUGCGCGAACAGGAAGCGGAGGCUGCUGCUUAGUGCUUACCUUAGGCUGCUCCCUGCGAGCCACGGCCGCUACCGAUAACCGCGCCGCUGCCCAGGAAAGCGCCGGUUUGAUUUGGCAUAGUUAUGGAUUGCCUCAAGAACAGAGUAUUUUGUCUGUCCAGAUGCACAGGCUUCAAUUUCUUCUGGGCUGAGCUGAGUUUGCAAGAAAAGGUGUAGCCGGCUGUCAGAGAGCAGGACUGGACACUGCAUGACCCUGUAGAAUGUAACCCAAAUGCAGUUACUCACCAUAAUACAAAGACAGUAAUUAAAAAGGGCAUGCAGGGAAUUAACACAGUAGGAAAGCAAUAACAAAACAAUUUCUGAAUGCAUAUGGUUCCAAAAUAUCCAAGCCAAUUAUGGCAAAGGUACAAAGAUUUCCAUGUAUCCACAGUACGGUGCCCUGGAACACGAUGGUGCCAUAGAAGCCAAUAAAAAUAAUAAAUGUACCUUACAGCAUGUGACAGU